UGGGAACGUGCCCAAAGGUACGGAACAACUCCGGGAAACUGGAGCUAAUACCGUAUGUGCCCGAAAGGGGAAAGAUUUAUCGCCUUUGGAUCGGCCCGCGUCUGAUUAGCUAGUUGGUGAGGUAAUGGCUCACCAAGGCGACGAUCAGUAGCUGGUCUGAGAGGAUGAUCAGCCACACUGGGACUGAGACACGGCCCAGACUCCUACGGGAGGCAG
RNAcentral lists this ribosomal RNA (216 nucleotides) under uncultured bacterium. Its description in RNAcentral is "partial 16S ribosomal RNA". It matches the Rfam family "Bacterial small subunit ribosomal RNA", at positions 118 to 351 of the family's 1533-position model. The record is from RNAcentral.